This 395-nucleotide ribosomal RNA is filed under the name uncultured bacterium. Its description in RNAcentral is "partial 16S ribosomal RNA". It matches the Rfam family "Bacterial small subunit ribosomal RNA", at positions 523 to 918 of the family's 1533-position model. The record is from RNAcentral.
AUACGUAGGGGGCAAGCGUUGUCCGGAAUUACUGGGCGUAAAGCGCACGCAGGCUGACUUAUAAGUCGGUAGUCUAAUGCGGAGGCUCAACUUCCGUUUAUCUAUCGAGACUGUAAGGCUAGAGUAUGUGAGAGGGAAGUGGAAUUCCAGGUGUAGCGGUGAAAUGCGUAGAUAUCGGGAGGAACACCAGUGGCGAAGGCGACUUCCUGGCACAAUACUGACGCUCAUGUGCGAAAGCUAGGGUAGCGAACGGGAUUAGAUACCCCGGUAGUCCUAGCCGUAAACGAUGGAUACUAGGUGUGGGUGUCGCAGGGCAUCCGUGCCGCAGCUAACGCGUUAAGUAUCCCGCCUGGGGACUACGGUCGCAAGACUGAAACUCAAAUGAAUUGACGGGG